RNAcentral lists this ribosomal RNA (484 nucleotides) under uncultured bacterium. RNAcentral describes it as "partial 16S ribosomal RNA". It matches the Rfam family "Bacterial small subunit ribosomal RNA", at positions 30 to 507 of the family's 1533-position model. The record is from RNAcentral.
AUUGAACGCUGGCGGCAGGCCUAACACAUGCAAGUCGAGCGGAUGAAGGGAGCUUGCUCCUGGAUUCAGCGGCGGACGGGUGAGUAAUGCCUAGGAAUCUGCCUGGUAGUGUGGGAUAACGUCCGGAAACGGGCGCUAAUACCGCAUACGUCCUGAGGGAGAAAGUGGGGGAUCUUCGGACCUCACGCUAUCAGAUGAGCCUAGGUCGGAUUAGCUAGUUGGUGGGGUAAAGGCCUACCAAGGCGACGAUCCGUAACUGGUCUGAGAGGAUGAUCAGUCACACUGGAACUGAGACACGGUCCAGACUCCUACGGGAGGCAGCAGUGGGGAAUAUUGGACAAUGGGCGAAAGCCUGAUCCAGCCAUGCCGCGUGUGUGAAGAAGGUCUUCGGGUUGUAAAGCCCUUUUAGUUGGGAAGAAAGGCAGUAAGUUAAUACCUUGCUGUUUUGACGUUACCAACAGAAUAAGCACCGGCUAACUUCGUG